CAGCACCUCAAGUGGUCAGGAUGAUUAUUGGGCCUAAAGCAUCCGUAGCCUGCUUUGUAAGUUUUCGGUUAAAUCCAUACGCUUAACGUAUGGGCUGCCGGGAAUACUGCAAAGCUAGGGAGUGGGAGAGGUAGACGGUACUCGGUAGGAAGGGGUAAAAUCCUUUGAUCUAUUGAUGACCACCUGUGGCGAAGGCGGUCUACCAGAACACGUCCGACGGUGAGGGAUGAAAGCUGGGGGAGCAAACCGGAUUAGAGACCCGAGUAGUCC
RNAcentral lists this ribosomal RNA (270 nucleotides) under uncultured archaeon. RNAcentral's name for it is "partial 16S ribosomal RNA". It matches the Rfam family "Archaeal small subunit ribosomal RNA", at positions 477 to 747 of the family's 1478-position model. The record is from RNAcentral.